Long non-coding RNA from Corvus moneduloides (New Caledonian crow), 4987 nucleotides. The record is from Ensembl. Lineage: Eukaryota; Metazoa; Chordata; Aves; Passeriformes; Corvidae.
UUUUCAUUCAUGAAAUCCUUUUAACUUUUGAAAAGGUUUGAUUUGGUUUUGACUUAUUGUUUCAUUUGCAUUUUACAUCUUUAUUUCAUACUUAUUUUGAUCAGUAGACCUGAAGACUGCAAGGACCAAGACUAAGCAAUCUAUUGCAGUGUGAAUUUGGGGGCAUCUCCAGAUCCUAUUGGCCAGUGAAGGAGUUGCCAGAUGUCCUUUCUAAAUGCCCAGUGAAGUCUUACGCUUCAUAUGAAAAGCUUAUAGAAAAGCUUCCUCCAAUAUUUCACAUCGGCUGGGUGCCUUUUUGGCACUGGUGGCAGUGGCUGCUAAGGAAAAAGCUACUGUGCAUAUGCAGGAAAGCAAUUUUGCAAGCUCCAGCCCAGGGCACAGCAGUGCACACUUUGUGCAGUGGACCUGUGUGUGUGCAGCAUGCAUGGAGUGACACUGAAUCUCAAGGCGUGACAUCUGAUCUCUCUGCUAUUAUCAAGGCUCCCAUUUACUACAGCCACCAUUGUCUCAAAAAUCCUAAUGACAACCUCGUUGUGUAGAAAGGCACUUGUCAAAGUAAGCACCUUGAAUGGGAGCUGGGGCAGAAAUGGUGGGUAAAGCCCAGCAAAUAAAGAGCUUUGGCUGGCACUGACCUGCGGCUGGAGGUAAAAUGAACAGGAGGAGGAGAGGUGCUGCUCAGCAUUUGUACACCAUGAGAGCAGCCUGUGACUGUACUGGCAGAAGGCAGAGAAGAGAAGAACCUACUGUCACAGAGGAGACAAUGCUGCAAAGAGAGUACACUGCUGAAAGAGAAGUGAAUGAAUUCCUCAUGAAAGGUGCUGUAUGGACAACUCCUUUUUAUCUUCACAAGUCCUGGAGAAACAGCAGUGGAUUCCCCUGCCUUACUUCACCCCUAGGCUGGUCCUCUCCAUGUGUCUCUCACAUAAGGAACUGUUUGAUUGCUCUCCAUUUCUGUUUCGAAAAUCCAAAGAAAUGGCAUUCAGAAGGAAGUUAAAAAAGGGGGAGAACAAAGGAACACAGUUUCUUGUACAAACUUUUGCAGACCACAGUUGUGGAUGUCCCUCCUGAAAUGGCACUUUCUGCUCUAUUCGUGCCAGAAGGCAAUUGGAACUUGUGUGAUUCUCCAUCCUCCUAGCACUUCAUAGAGACAUCUGACCAGAGACUGCUGAUGCACAGGCAGCUGGAAUAUGUGCUGUGGGAAUGAGUAAACAGAAGGGCCAGAAAUCCUCACUCUAGGGAACUGUGGAACUGAUACUGGAAGACUGUCAAGUCAGAAUAUCCUUAGAAUGAUAGGACAUGAGUUCAAGCCACACAUAAAUCCAGAUUUCAGAGUCUUGACCUCAGGUAAGACUCCGGAUUACAUGAAAUUUGUAAGAAAAGUACAGGAAAUCUACAGUGAUCUCAUGUAUUUAAAACCUGUUCUCAGACAAAGUAAGACAAAUUAGUUUCAACAGAAAAAAAAAAUCCUGGACAGGAUUACCAGAAUUUUGAAUGAAGAAAAUUUCAAAAAUCCAAGUUUAAGAAAUUACUUUACUUGAAAACUCUUUCAUGCUGAGGCAGGAUCUGAAUCUAAUUUUCACAGCCCUACAAAAUUAUUCUACAUAUAGAAGCUUAUCACAUACAUAAUUACCUUAUUCUAGUUUGUAUUCUAGAACAAACAUGUCUGCAUGAGACAGUUAUUCAGUAAGAAUGCUGCUUUUAUUCUUGAAUAAUUCCAUGUGCAGUCAAGCCCUCAGUCAAACCAUCACAACUCUGUAUGUAGAUGAAUUGUCAGUCUGUCUCUGCUUGCACUUACACAAAAUGUGUAUCUCUGUUACUAAAUGCAGCUGACAGAUCUGAAAACGUCACGUUUGUGGAGUAGGCAUAGCUCUUACAAGUUCCCACCCUUAUUGGCCUACUAUUUCUGUGUCCUUUGGAGGUGUUACGAACUGCAUAUCCUUCAUAUUUUGUGUUCAAUGUCAUUAGCAAACUAAUAAAUGCUAUGGAGAGAAGGAAAAGUUUUUUCUUCCCUUGUUUGCCAAAAAGCAAGAGGAUUUUUGCCAAAAGGAAGAGUUUUUGAGUGUGACAAUGCUCCAUCAACUUUAUAUAUAUGAGCCCAGGAGAAGAAAACUGAGUUGCUUUCCUUUGAGAAGGGGAAGGAAAUAAAUAUUUGUCCUAGUUCACUAAAAAGCUCUUACGUAUUAGACCUUUUAACCAUAAAGACUUUAUUUUCUUCAUGCUUGUUUUUAUCACCUAUGUUUGCCUAAUUUUGUCAUGAGUACUGUCUCAAAGCCUUAAUAAAACAUUAAUGUCCAAGCCCCAGAACUUCCACUGUUACUUUUCUAUCAUUUAUCUCUGUUACUGAUUUUAGCUCUGGUUACUUCUAAGAAAAGUAAAAUGGCAAUCUAUACAUUUCAAGGAAAGGAUGAGAUUAAUGAAUGUAUACAACUAGGACCUGCUGCUGAUGAUGUCAAAUAUUAAGAGGUGGAACUCUUAAUAUGUACUUAAAAUAGUUUGUUUUCUACUUUGUGUAGUUCUUGUAGCUCCACUUUAAUGUUCUUCCCUAAUACAGGUUUUAACAAUUCAAGUAUGGACUGAAUGGCCUUAUUAGAACCUUUUAAAUGAGUAAGUGUAGCUUUUAAUUCAGUAGCACCUAAAAGAUGUCACUAUAUGGCUACUUUCUAGCCCAUAUGAAAUUACGUGGUGCUGGCUGUUCAGGCAUGUUUAAUGUGAACUCGUCCCAGCUGUAUUCUCAGCAGAGAGCAACUCCUGAAAAGCCCAUGAAGAUGGAUCAGGGUUUUUUUCAGCAAACUGGAAGGAAGAGAUCAGUUCUGCUAUCACUUUUACAGUUUACAUGCUAUGGGCAGGAGUCUGGAUCCUUGUUUAAUGUCUUAGCAGACUGUAGGUAUCAGGCAUUACACAAACAUUCAGUGAUAACAUUUUUCAGAAUAAAAGCCCAAGACCAGCUGGUUUUCUUACUGAGGAGAUCAUUCUAGAUUUCCAAAACAGGACUAGUGAAUAGAGUUCUUCCUUUUUGAGAUAUGAUUUUGUUCUUUAAAUAUCGUGAACCGCGAGUCACUAUCACCCCCGGGGGUUCUAGAAGGUUCCCUUGUGCCUCCCCUCAGCAGCGAGGGCCCAAAGGCACGUGAGGCAUCAGCCAGGGCUACUGGAGAAGGCGAGGAUGUGCAUGUCCCCCUCCCGGGUCACUGGUGGGAGGAAACCCAGCCUGGAUGCAUCCACUGCAGCCAUCUCCCAGAAUUUACAGCUGCCUCACAAGAAUCUGCCCAAUCACCAGCUCCAUCCCAGAACGGGGCACUGAGUAACACUAAUUGGGCAAACUGAGAGAACCUGUGAGUAGUGACUUGCUCACCUGGGGAUGAUCAGCCCUCGUCCCAAGCGCGCUCCACGCCCCAAGGGCAGGCAGGAAUGGCACGAAGCCGGUGUUUGGCUGCCGGGGAAGAUGGAAGCAGCAGCCCCGUUGUCCUUGGAGAAGGAAGGGCCCUGAGGGGCAGGUGCUGCCCGGCCCUGGCUCUCCCUGGCACCUGCGCCCUGCGGGAAGGGCCCUGCGCGGGAGCAGCAGUAGCAGCAGCAUCUGCCGGGACUGCGAGCAGGUCAGUGCCUCAGCUGAACUUCCAUUACUUCUUUUCUCUCUGAGGAAUGUUUGCCAUCACAUUAACUUCUUUUGGAGAUUUUUGAGGUAUGUAUCAGGAAAAAUCCCUUUACAAAUAAUCAUCUGCUUAAGCUUUUGUUGGUUCAAAUGUUAUUCCCUUUGCUAUUGAAAGCAAACGUCAUAAAGACCUGUUUUCCUUUAAAACAAAGGAUUUGAAUUUUUAUAUCGGAGUAGCCUUUAGGUUGUUUGUUGUUUAUGUAUCUUGCAAUAUGGUAUUUCAUUUUAAGGAAGAAUUCUUUAGGUUUAUUUUGUUCAAAAAUUUAAAAGUUGAUGUGUUUGACUUGAGAUUCUAUGGGUUCUGUUAGUAACUUGUUUUCCGCGGGAAAAAGUAAGUUCUGUCAUAAUGGCUUUGCACUUCAGAAGGGAAUUCUGUAACUCUUUUAAGUGUAAUGUGAUUGUGUCUACAUUGUUGUUUUGCAACUUUCUUCUGUUGUUAAAUACCAAACUAGGGCUUCUUAAGUGUGAGAAGGAAAAAUAGCCUUUAUACUAUUGUUUACCUCCUCAUUGGUAUUAUACAGUUCUUCGCAUUAUAAAAAUGCUAUUUAAUCAUGGUCAACUUAAUUCUAUCUACCAACUCCUCCAUUGUGCAAGGCUUUGGACAGCACUCGCUGGGUUACUGAGUCCUCCCCUCCCUACUGCAGCCGUCACAUUGGAUAAUUUGUUUUUGAAGUGUGCUGUACUUUAUCUUAACAACACUUGUGUGGUUUAUUCCCACUAUUCCCAGAGGAUGGCUGUUACAGAAUGUGAUUGCUUUACAACAUUGCUAGUGAACCAUUUGCCAUUGGAACUGACUUGGGAUAAGGUCAAAACCAAUGAGCUACCACCAUAUACUUUAAAAAAAUUCCUGGCCAGCUAAAGUCCAUUUGGACUCAUGCCAAAGUUAUCUUUUAAUUUUUUUUUUCUCUCAGCUUUUUAGCUAAAAGUUAGAUGGCAAUCCUGUCCUCUCUUAGCUUUUUUUAUAGUAGACUAAAUAAAUCAAGCUUGUUUAAUCUCAUUUUAUAAAAUAAGCUUUCCAUUGCCCUCAUCUACCUAGCAGGCCUCCUCUACCUGCUCUAAUUCCAGUCAAUUUGUCAAAUGCAGGUGGCUAGAGUGAAUGCAGUAUUUCAGGUGAGCUCUUCCUAGACUUUUACACAAUGCUAUUGCUUUUCCUUGGCUCUGUUGAAAGUUGCACUAGCUGCCAUACAGGGGUGAUCCACAAUCAUUGUAUUUUAGCAGUCAUCCUAAAUUAAUAUUGAGGAAUUAUGCCAUUUAUGCUUUUUUAGCACAUAAUACUGAGAUUUGAGGUUUGUUUUUAAAUCAGAGGAAGUUUAAUGUGUUGUCAUCUACUUUCAAUAAUCC